RNAcentral lists this ribosomal RNA (1325 nucleotides) under metagenome. RNAcentral describes it as "bacterial LSU rRNA". It matches the Rfam family "Bacterial large subunit ribosomal RNA", at positions 1588 to 2925 of the family's 2925-position model. The record is from RNAcentral.
AAGUACAUGAUUCCAUGCUUCCAAGAAAAGCAUCUAGAGAGAGAAGUAGUGCCCGUACCGCAAACCGACACAGGUAGAUGAGGAGAGAAUCCUAAGGCCGGCGGAAGAAUUGCAGUUAAGGAACUAGGCAAAUUGACCCCGUAAGUUAGCGAGAAGGGGUGCCUACGAGAGUAGGCCGCAGAGAAUAGGCCCAAGCAACUGUUUAGCAAAAACACAGGUCUCUGCUAAAGCGCAAGCUGAUGUAUAGGGGCUGACGCCUGCCCGGUGCUGGAAGGUUAAGGGGAACACUUAGCGCAAGCGAAGGUGUGAACUUAAGCCCCAGUAAACGGCGGCCGUAACAAUAACGGUCCUAAGGUAGCGAAAUUCCUUGUCAGGUAAGUUCUGACCCGCACGAAUGGCGUAAUGACUUGGGCACUGUCUCAACUGCAAAUCCGGCGAAGUUGUAGUGCGAGUGAAGAUGCUCGCUACCCGCGAUUGGACGGAAAGACCCCGUAGAGCUUUACUGUAGCUUAGCAUUGAAUUCCGGUAUUGUCUGUACAGGAUAGGUGGGAGACUAGGAAACUAGGGCGUCAGCCUUAGUGGAGUCAUCCUUGGGAUACCACCCUGACAGUACUGGGGUUCUAACAGGAUGCCAUGAAUCUGGUGACUGGACAUUGUUAGGUGGGCAGUUUGACUGGGGCGGUCGCCUCCUAAAAAGUAACGGAGGCGCCCAAAGGUUCCCUCAGAACGGUCGGAAAUCGUUCGUAGAGUGCAAAGGCAGAAGGGAGCCUGACUGCGAGACCUACAAGUCGAGCAGGGACGAAAGUCGGGCUUAGUGAUCCGGUGGUACCUCGUGGGAGGGCCAUCGCUCAACGGAUAAAAGCUACCUCGGGGAUAACAGGCUGAUCUCCCCCAAGAGUCCACAUCGACGGGGAGGUUUGGCACCUCGAUGUCGGCUCGUCGCAUCCUGGGGCUGUAGUAGGUCCCAAGGGUUGGGCUGUUCGCCCAUUAAAGCGGCACGCGAGCUGGGUUCAGAACGUCGUGAGACAGUUCGGUCCCUAUCCGUCGCGGGCGUAGGAAAUUUUAGAGGAGCUGUCCUUAGUACGAGAGGACCGGGAUGGACUGACCUCUGGUGCACCAGUUGUUCUGCCAAGAGCAUGGCUGGGUAGCUAAGUCGGGAAGGGAUAAACGCUGAAAGCAUCUAAGCGUGAAGCCUCCCUCAAGAUGAGAUUUCCCAUAGUCGAAAGACUAGUAAGACCCCUUGAAGAACACGAGGUUGAUAGGUCAGAGGUGUAAGUGUGGUAACAUAUUUAGCUGACUGAUACUAAUAGGUCGAGGGCUUGACC